GCUUGGCGGGGGUGGGCGGUGGGGGCUACCUUGUGCUGCACAGCUCAGCCCAGCCUCACUGCUGCCCACUGUGGGCUCAACCUGGGGUGCUCUCUGUCCCUUCAUCUCCCCUGGCCUCUGUUGUGGAUGACUGCCCCAAGUUACAGCCCUUCCCCCAGCCCAGUGCUGCUUAUAGGACCUCCCCGCCCCCGCUCCCCCUGUCGGCACCUGGACUCAUCCCUGCCAGCCUCCGCCAUGGGGGGCACCUUCCCGCCCCCUCUGUGUGCGAGGUCCUCUCAGCCCGGUGUCCCACGUCUGCAGACAGGCCACAGGCCCACCGCCCACAUUCUGCCCGCUUCCGGAAUGUUCCAUGCUCUCCACGCUCCCUUCUUGUGCCCGGAGCUCCCCGCUCACCCGCGGUCCAGUCCCAGGUCCUCGUGUCUCCCCUGCCACCUCCACCAUCUCUUCCCUCCAAGGUGGCUGCUGACGCUUUCACGUCGCCCUCAGGUUAACCCCCGGGGCUUUGUCGUCCCUGACCUUUUCUCUCGACAGGUUUGGGACGUUUUGCCGCCCUCCUUGCACAGUCUCUGUCCCCUCUGAGAUGCUUGGGUUUGUUUCGCCCUUCCCCUUUCCUGCUGCGGGUAUCGGGACAUUUCUAUUUUUAUUUUAUUAUUUUAUUUUUUAGGUGAGGCAACCCUUGGUUGACCUCACAGAUUGCAAGGACCUUGUCAGCGUACAAUCCCUUAUUUGUUAUUUUUUACGCCUGCAGCACCCGGUCUUCCUAGGUGGUCUCCCAUCCAAGUACUAACCAGGCCCGACCCCGCUUAGCUUCCGAGAUCAGACGGGAUCGGGCUCGUUCAGGAAGGCGGCGUGGCCGUAGACUAUCGUGACAUUUUAAAUCGCACUUUAAUAGCUUUUGGACACGCAGAUUGCGAGUGAGGGUUCGCAGUGCCGCUUGGAGGCGCUGAGCCAUGAGGGACCCUGAGGUGGGGGCUUCCCCGCGGGCGUGUUUGGUGGGGACCUGUCGCUGGAGGUGGUGGUGGCGGUGGGCCGCGCGCGACUCCGCCUGCAGGUGCCUCCGGUGCUCCGGAAGCAGCCGGCCCAGCUCCGCUCGCGCCCUUCCCCUCCCGCACCUGCGCCUGCGCCUGCGCCUGCGCGUGGCACCUCCUAGGCCUCCCCAGGCCAGCCUCGCACUCCCGCCGGGCGGAGUAAUUCCCCAGACCCUUCUUCCAGCUCGCAAAUCCCCCUUCGGUUGUGUCUCACCCACUGAUCAACCUGUCCACUGAGUCUUCAAGUUUCAUUCUGCUGUCCUCGUCCCCACGUGUGCUGCGCCUUUGUCCUUUGGUUCCAGGGGCUCCAUGUUCAUCCCCAGCCUAUUUCCUGAAACGGCUUUUCCAGUCCUCUCUGAAUUGGCUGAAACUGUUUGUCUAGCGAGUCCUUCAAGAGCGGCCAAUCAAACCAUCUUCCUGGUUUCUCCUGACUCGUUCAAGAAUGCCCGGUGCCUCUGUGCCUGGACAGCCACGGGCUGGGCAUGAAGUUCCCGGCGCGCUCCCUCCCCACUCUGGGCUGUGCCCGGGUCGGUCUGCUUCGAGAGUUUCUAGGGAAAGUCUGAGGAAAACGUGACUUCUUUUGUUAAGAGAAGACAUGCUGUCUUUUCCUGGCUGUCCCCAGAUUUUCUUGACCUCGAAGCCCAGUGACUUAGUUAGGACAUGUGUCUGCGCUGGCGACACAGUGUCAGCUUUCCCUUUUGCCCGGUAGCUGAGGCGUCAACGUGUUAUGUCUGGCGGCCUCCUUUAACCUUCAGCGGUUUGCCCUGCUCCGUUGUCCUGGUUCACUCCGCAGAGGCCACCGUCGGCGCGUGGCCGGCCUCCCGCGUGCCCAGCCUCUGGGGCUGCGGAGCACUGUCCACGGACAUCAGGAUGGCUCACUGCUGUCAACCCUGUUUCCCCACACGAUGCCUCGUAGUGGGGUUCCUGCGGGACUUCUCCCAAGUUUGUCUUCCUGUCUGCGAUGGAAUUAUCGCUUCAUUGCAUUUCUUUCUAGGGUCCGCACGCGUCUUUCUGCUUGUGACCCGCGGUUCAGACCCCAGACGCAGGCCGGACUUCGCUCCGCGGGGGGCUGGGCUUUCCUGCGUGCGGCCACCCGCCCAGGGAAAGCGAGGGGUCCUAGAGCACUCACGGCUGGCAGAUAACUGGUAGAUGUUGCUUCAUCUCAGGUCAAACAGGAAAGAAAACUGCUUAGAACUAGUGACAAAAAGCAAAGUGUACGACCUUUGUGGAAUCCUGUCUAAAGCUGUCCAGACUGAGAAAUGAAAAUCUUUAAGUAUAUUGAGCAAAACACUGGAAAGUUUAGAAAGAUGAAGUUAAACAUUCACCUCGAGGAGCUACGGAAGGACAAUGGCAAAUAAAACGAAGCCGUCGCGAUCGGUUAGGGUAGGACGGAUAACACCGGCAAAAACACACAGGGAGGGCAGCAGAGCCUGGAGACGACGCUUAAAAAAGUGACAGACGAGCCCCUGGCAAGACCGACCAGGGGCGAAAAGAGAGGCCGCGCGGACGACUGCAUGGAAGUUACAAGGAGAACUAAGUAUGGAUGCGGCGACCAUUUAAAAUGAUCGGAGACCAGCAGGAGCAAAGCACAUGCCAACAGCGUGAGAAGCCAGACGGAGCGGCCGCCGAAGGAGAUCGAAAACUUGACCAGACUAACAGCCAUUAAAGAAAUUAAACGGUGACCGGCCCACCCCGCAAUGCCCGGGUCUUUGAAAAGUGAGUUCUAAUGAACUACCGUGGAAUAGACGCUCCCUCCUCCACGAGAAUUUCUUACACAGGAAGUUUCAAAACGUGGACCAGUUGGAAAGGACAAUGAAAAGGGGGGUGCCUAUGAGUGAACCCUCGAACCAGACCCGGAGCAGCACAGCACUAGGGGCCCAGUCGACCAGCUCUCACGAGGGCGGGUGUGAAAACGGCCGAGUAAACGCCGUUUUGAUGUAGCAGUGAUUUAAAAAUAUUCCAGCAUGAUCAAGUAGUAGCACUGCAGGAAUGGAAGGCUGAGUGACCAUCGCGAGCCCUGUCCGUGGCGUCCAGGGCCUCAGUAGACUAAAGGAGAAAUGUCGUUUUGUGAUACGUCGACAGGUGCCGAGGGCUUUGGACACGCGGCCACUGGGGUCGGGAACAAACCAGGAAUGCUGGCUAUUCUCACUGCGACUUUUUCACGCACUGGUCAACAGGCCCUGGCCAGUGCCGUAAGAUAAGAAAAAGACACACGAGGAUUGGAAGUGAGAGCCAGCACCCAUAACUUGCUGGUGAUGUGAUCGAGACCCCACCUGCAUUAAGGAGUCACUUAAAUUGAUAAGAGAGUUUGGCAAUACCACUAAAGACAAAACCAAGAUACGGUGCUGCCAGAUAUAACGGACCCGUUUAUAAAAACCAAGCGUUUGAUUGACUUAAAACAUCUAUCCUCAGUCAACAUAGCGUUUCUCUGCAUUUGCAAAAACCAACCAGGAAACACAAGAGAAACAGGAGCUCACUCUGCUCGUACAAACGCUCUGAUCACGUGGGAACUGAUUUGGUUCUGGUUUUCGGAAGCCUGGCUUCAGAGCAGGCUGCUGUCCUGCCUGUUCCGGGCGGCGGCAGGUGGGCGGGGGGUCCUGGUUAGCCCCCUGCAAUCAUAACUGCGUCCCCUCGCUGGUGGCUGGUGCAGGGGAGUGUAGACCAGACACAAUUCUGGCCGAGGAAACAGGAGGAAGGCUGGAUCGAGCUCCCCCCAACUCCGAGGUUGUGGUCCUCACCCCCACACCCCAGGCACCUCAGAAUGUGGCCAAUUUGGAGACAGGGUCUUUGCAGAUGUAGUUGGUUAGCGUGAGACCACGUGGAGCAGGUGGGCCCCGAUCCAAUGUGACCGUGUCCUCAUAAGGAGGGACUUCGGACACAGAUACUCACACGGGAACACGCCACGUGAACAGGAAGGCAGAGACCGCGGCGAUAUGUCUCCGAGCCGGGGAACCAGCCCAGGAGGACAGCGGAGGACAUGGCUUCUCCUUCACUGCCCCGGAGGGAAGCAGAUCUGCCCACACCUCGACGCUGACCUCUGGCCUCCAGAACCGGCCGUCCGGUUCCCGUUGCCGCUUUGUUAGCCGCCCCAGGGAACAAACGCGCACGCCAGGCUAAGGGUGCCACCAUGCAGUGUGAGGGGACACGCAUGAAGGUGAGGGGUUCCAUGCUGGGGGACCCCGGCUGGGCCCCUCGUCUGCUCCCCGGGGUGCGGGGGCUCGGGUCCGCUCUGCCAUCCGGGGCUCUCCCGGGGCUCACUGUGGGGGGCGGGCCCGGUGCACGCCGAAGAAACGAACGUUUGUCGUUGCUCAGGCCGGGCGAGCACGGGUUUCUGUCCCUCGCAGCGGCAGCCGUGCUAGCUGACGACACGCCGUACAGACGGAAGCGAGACCGUGAAAACGUAAGAGCAGGUGAGCGGAGAGAGACACCGCAUUCCGGACGCGGACGACAAAGAAACCCCAAUUCCAGGAAGACCAGUGAGCGUGACACCCAGCAAACCAUUGUUAGGUCCACACGUGAGAGUAAGCGGCAUGAAGGACCGGAAAGUGAACAGUGAGACCAGAAAGCCAGCAGGAGAAAGAGCAGAAUGUCUCCAGGAUCUUGGGGGUAUCGAUGCCACCAUCCGAGCGUUGCUUAAGCACGGACUCAGGGCACGUUCCUGGAGGCCCCCUUCCGGACUGUUCCCCGCAGGACACGCGUCACACGGGGCCACGGGCCCAGCCGGCUUCUCUGCCCUCUGAACACCCAGAGUCUUCUGCGUCCAGACCUUUGAGCAUUUUAUGAAAUUCUUUUUGAUGCGAAUUUGAUAAACAUCAGUAUACGUAAGAGAGAUCAGGAACACAUUUAAA
Molecule: long non-coding RNA, 4876 nt
Organism: Pteropus alecto (black flying fox)
Lineage: Eukaryota; Metazoa; Chordata; Mammalia; Chiroptera; Pteropodidae
Exons: 3
Source: RefSeq, a predicted model, not a curated record